Molecule: long non-coding RNA, 1063 nt
Filed under: Paramuricea clavata
Lineage: Eukaryota; Metazoa; Cnidaria; Anthozoa; Malacalcyonacea; Plexauridae
Source: RNAcentral
CAAAAUGUGGAGUUGCAACAAAUUUGUUUAAGCCUGGUUUCCAGUGUCCUCGAAGUUGGCCUAAGCCAGAUAAAUCCAAUCUCGUACCCAGAGCCAUCGUUGAGUGGCUCUGGCCACACGGGAUUGAAAAACGAUCCUGAUUGGUCGAUCCAUAAGCUAUUGGACCCAUACCCCCUGUGGCGUUCACAUGCGCGGCCAAUAUGAGUGAACACGAUAUAUUUGCUAAUAUUUUGCCUGAAAAUUUGCUUAUUUCGACGAGUUUUUUGUUGCUUUUCGUCCGAAAAAGUGGUGAAGGGAUUAAGGAGUUGAUUUAUGCAUACUUGAAUACAUUUGGGCAAAAUAACAGGCUUCGUUAUGGUAAUAAUUCAUACUCUUGGUUCACUCUGAGUGAGUAUUGAUGGGAAUGAUGGCAUAUGUCCUUGAUCUACUACUAUAUAUUGGAGUGUUAUUAUUGAAAACAAAUUCAAGCGUACAAGACUUACAAGCGUACACGUAUGCUACGACUGUGUUUGUACAAGAUUUGGGAUUUUUUAAUUGAACUGUAAAUGUAUGAAUCAUGGUAUGAAUGCAACAAUUAAACAGCAUUUGGAUUCUUUUGCAACUUGUCAACUCGUUUGAAUGUUUGAUAGAAUUGUUUGAUGAUAUAGUGUUUCUGUUUACAGUAUUGCCUGUACAACUCUGUCAGAAACAUUGGUGUUAGUAGCCAAAAAAGGUUUCAUUAAAGGCCAUGUAAAGUAUGUAAUGUAAACAAACCGUCAAACCCUUUGUUUACAUUCUGAACCCAGUGCUAAAGUUGUAAAAUAUUAGAUAUAUAAUAUUAUACUAAAUUUUUAACACUCUUCUGGUUUGCUAUGCUUGUAAAUGAAUACAGACUAGAUAUUCAAUUCAAGAAAGUUUGGAAGGUACAAAAUAUUAAUAACAUAUUUCCAGUGGUCGGGACCCGACUUCCAAUGGGUCUGCAAAACGCAUGCGCAGAACAGACUUUACAUGGUCUUUAACAAUAGCAGUAUGUACUACGUACAGUAUGUAAUAAUAUGAAUUUAUAUAAUUUAUACAAUGGUUC